RNAcentral lists this unclassified non-coding RNA (378 nucleotides) under uncultured Acidobacteriota bacterium. RNAcentral describes it as "uncultured Acidobacteria bacterium contains 16S-23S intergenic spacer region". The record is from RNAcentral. Lineage: Bacteria; Pseudomonadati; Acidobacteriota.
UCCGGCUUUUCGCCGACAGUCUCCGUAGAGUGCCCAGCUUGACCUGAUGGCAACUACAGACAAGGGUUGCGCUCGUUGCGGGACUUAACCCAACAUCUCACGACACGAGCUGACGACAGCCAUGCAGCACCUCUCUAUCCGUCCCGAAGGAACUCUACAUCUCUGCAGAUUGCGGAUACAGUUCAAACCCCGGUAAGGUUCUUCGCGUUGCGUCGAAUUAAACCACAUGCUCCACCGCUUGUGCGGGCCCCCGUCAAUUCCUUUGAGUUUCAGCCUUGCGGCCGUAUUCCCCAGGCGGAGCACUUAUCGAGUUUUCUUCGACACAGAGAACUAAUCCGUCCCCCACAUCAAGUGCUCAUCGUUUACAGCCAGGACUAC